UACGGGGGGGGCAAGCGUUGUUCGGAAUUACUGGGCGUAAAGGGUUCGUAGGUGGCUCGCUAAGCCAGACGUGAAAUCCCUCAGCUUAACUGGGGAACCGCGUCUGGGACUGGAGAGCUUGAGUACAGGAGAGGAAUGCGGAAUUCCAGGUGUAGCGGUGAAAUGCGUAGAUAUCUGGAGGAACACCGGUGGCGAAGGCGGCAUUCUGGACUGCAACUGACACUGAGGAACGAAAGCCAGGGGAGCAAACGGG
Molecule: ribosomal RNA, 253 nt
Filed under: uncultured bacterium
Lineage: Bacteria
Description: partial 16S ribosomal RNA
Rfam family: Bacterial small subunit ribosomal RNA
Source: RNAcentral